Armigeres subalbatus is the source of this 453-nucleotide long non-coding RNA. RefSeq lists it as uncharacterized. Lineage: Eukaryota; Metazoa; Arthropoda; Insecta; Diptera; Culicidae. The record is from RefSeq and is a predicted model, not a curated record. The transcript has 2 exons.
UUUUUUUUUUUUUUUAAUAAAUGUAUUCAAUUGGUUUAUUGAUCAUUUCGAAUGUCCCAUGUCGCAUCGAAUCAAACAAAAGCUUUCGCUGCUGCCUUGUCUUUCGGCUCGGAACAAUCUGUGCAUGGUCUGGACACUUCCAAGUAUAAGCAAAGCAGUGCCGACGACGAAUGCGGAACGAUGCACGAAACGGUGUUGCCGUCUGCGAACAGGAGCAAUGGCAUCCGGAAGAUCGGUAAGGCGCGGUAUAAAACCUACAGGACGAAAUCUAACUAGUGAAGAGCAAAAUAUAAGAAUGUUGUACAUCAGGCAUAGUAUAUUUAUACUAUCGUUACAAUAUUAAAUCAAUAUUCGACAUGCUUAUUAGAGGAUAGGGAUAGGCAUAAUUAUGUUCUACUAGAAGUUAAGUAAAUAUGAAUAUGAAUUCAAUAAAAUUUGACUUAAAAUUAACAA